CUACGUGCCAGCAGCCGCGGUAAUACGGAGGAUGCGAGCGUUAUCCGGAUUUAUUGGGUUUAAAGGGUGCGUAGGUUGUUCGGUAAGUCAGCGGUGAAACCUGAGCGCUCAACGUUCAGCCUGCCGUUGAAACUGCCGGGCUUGAGUUCAGUGGCGGCAGGCGGAAUUCGUGGUGUAGCGGUGAAAUGCAUAGAUAUCACGAGGAACUCCGAUUGCGAAGGCAGCUUGCCAUACCGCGACUGGCACUGAAGCACGAAGGCGUGGGUAUCAAACAGGAUUAGAUACCCUGGUAGUCCACGCAGUAAACGAUGAUUACUAGGAGUUUGCGAUAUACCGUCAAGCUUCCACAGCGAAAGCGUUAAGUAAUCCACCUGGGGAGUACGCCGGCAACGGUGAAACUCAAAGGAAUUGACGGGGGCCCGCACAAGCGGAGGAACAUGUGGUUUAAUUCGAUGAUACGCGAGGAACCUUACCCGGGAUUGAA
RNAcentral lists this ribosomal RNA (484 nucleotides) under uncultured bacterium. RNAcentral describes it as "bacterial SSU rRNA". It matches the Rfam family "Bacterial small subunit ribosomal RNA", at positions 501 to 985 of the family's 1533-position model. The record is from RNAcentral.